GUCCAGAUGACAGGCAUCACAAGAGGACUCACAAUUUUGUACAACAAUCAGAAAAGGUUUGGUGAAGUGAGUGAAUGGUGUGAUAAGCCGACUGUGAAGGUGGCAGUCACAGUCGAUGCUCCGGCUGCUGUCAAACUGGUAAUGGACCGACUUAUCAAAUAGUACAGUAUAAGAGUUACCAGUUAGAGAUUCCAUAUUCAUUGUUUUAUGUUAUAUCAG
Molecule: unclassified non-coding RNA, 219 nt
Filed under: Hevea brasiliensis (rubber tree)
Lineage: Eukaryota; Viridiplantae; Streptophyta; Magnoliopsida; Malpighiales; Euphorbiaceae
Source: RNAcentral